CCUACGGGAGGCAGCAGUGGGGAAUAGUGCACAAUGGGGGAAACCCUGAUGCAGCGACGCCGCGUGAGUGAAGAAGUAUCUCGGUACGUAAAGCUCUAUCAGCAGGGAAGAAAAUGACGGUACCUGACUAAGAAGCCCCGGCUAACUAAGUGCCCGCAGACGCGGUAAUACGUAGGGGGCAAGCGUUAUCCGGAUGUACGGGGUGUAAAGGGAGCGUAGACGGCAGCACAAGUCUGGAGUGAAAUCCCGGGGCUUAACCCCGGGACUGCUUUGGAAACUGUGCGGCUGGAGUGCAGGUGGGGUAAGCGGAAUUCCUAGUGUAGCGGUGAAAUGCGUAGAUAUUAGGAGGAACACCGGUGGCGAAGGCGGCUUACUGGACUGUAACUGACGUUGAGGCUCGAAAGCGUGGGGAGCAAACAGGAUUAGAUACCCCAGUAGUC
RNAcentral lists this ribosomal RNA (440 nucleotides) under uncultured bacterium. RNAcentral's name for it is "partial 16S ribosomal RNA". It matches the Rfam family "Bacterial small subunit ribosomal RNA", at positions 338 to 795 of the family's 1533-position model. The record is from RNAcentral.